GUAAUCACUUGUCUUCUAAAUAAAGACCUGUAUGAAUGGCUAAAUGAGGACAAACCUGUCUCUUAUAACCAAUCAGUGAAACUGAUCUGCCAGUACAAAAGCUAGCAUAAACACAUAAGACGAGAAGACCCUGUGGAGCUUAAAACGAACCACUAAUAACUUAUAGUGCAACGUCUUAAGUUGGGGCGACUUCGGAACAAAGCAAAACUUCCGAGCAUAGAUCCACAACAUCUUACCUAGGCCAACAAGCCAAAGUAUGACAUCGACCCGGCCAUGCCGAUCAACGAACCAAGUUACCCCAGGGAUAACAGCGCCAUCUUCUUCAAGAGUCCAUAUCGACAAGAAGGUUUACGACCUCGAUGUUGGAUCAGGACACCCAGGCGGUGCAGCCGCUGCCAACGGUUCGUUUGUUCAACGACUAACGUC
This 426-nucleotide ribosomal RNA is filed under the name Eutropis trivittata (three-banded Mabuya). RNAcentral's name for it is "partial 16S ribosomal RNA". It matches the Rfam family "Bacterial large subunit ribosomal RNA", at positions 1961 to 2595 of the family's 2925-position model. The record is from RNAcentral. Lineage: Eukaryota; Metazoa; Chordata; Lepidosauria; Squamata; Scincidae.